RNAcentral lists this long non-coding RNA (425 nucleotides) under Musa acuminata (dwarf banana). RNAcentral describes it as "long non-coding RNA (MACU_LNC009256)". Lineage: Eukaryota; Viridiplantae; Streptophyta; Magnoliopsida; Zingiberales; Musaceae. The record is from RNAcentral.
AGACGACGGUGUCGAACGCCCCGGCAAGCGCUUUCACUUUGCUCCCCCUCGCCGCCAGCUUGUCGGCUGUCUCCUCCUCUAUGACAGCGUUGUGAGCCGGUGCCGUCUCCUUCCUCCAGCUCACCGCCGCCUGCCUCUUCGACUCCAUGGUCUCUUGCGCUGCCUUGUCUACUCCAUCGCCUUCUCUCUUGCUUCCUCUUCCUUCCGCCUCAUCCCUUUGGCUUCCCGGCAUCUGCUCAUCUACAUUCUUGGCUUUGGACUCUGAUCUCCUCGAAUACUGCUCACAUUCGACGUUCUUUGCCAGGUUUCGUGCCUCAUUGCCUCUGACGACGUCCAUCAACUUCUCUUCUUCGGGUUUGACUGCAGCGGCGGUGGAAGACAUGACUUUUGGAAGGAUUCUGGCGGUCUUCACGAGCGGAACAGCC